Microtus oregoni (creeping vole) is the source of this 690-nucleotide long non-coding RNA. RefSeq lists it as uncharacterized. Lineage: Eukaryota; Metazoa; Chordata; Mammalia; Rodentia; Cricetidae. The record is from RefSeq and is a predicted model, not a curated record. The transcript is spliced from 3 exons.
GGCAGCUAACAACUGUAACUCCAAGAUCUGACACCCUCACACAGAGAUACAUACAGGCUGCUCUGUGUGUAGAACCUGGAAAGUCCUAAAGACAGAGACGGAAACCCAGCUGCCACCCUCCAGAAACGACAGUCGCAUAAUUGGGUUGGUGCAGACCUAGAGUUCCUACUGGUUGUUGGAAUUGAAUAUUCUAGAGUUGGAAGAUGUUCUAAAAAUAGGACACUUCGUCUAUAGGAAGGACAGACUUGUGAAACAGGGAUAACCCUGAAACUCUGAGAGGUGAACGUGUUGAUCAAGAUCCCAUGGAAUAGCAGCAGAGCUCCUGCCAGCCUUUGAACUGAGGUCAGUGAUCUGUGCAGUGUCCCUGUUCUCCAAACUCGAAACUCCUCCCAUGUCUGCUCUGUUCCAGGGCCUCCUCCACUACAGAUGAAGCCCUGUGCCCUUCUGCCUACCAAGCGUUUGCCCCCUAGACGAAUCGAGUGGGCCCUGAUGAUAUCUACAGCAAGCUUUUGUCUUCACCCACUUAAAGCUUCAUGGUGACUCUCCCUUCUCUAGUGGCGUCCACUCGCCUGGCUUGAUCUACACACUGAGAGGAGAGAACAACAGCUUCAGCAGGAUGUUUCUGGGAAGUUUCAUUUCUGGGCCUCUUUGCCCCUGAUCUAUUCCCCAUGGCCUCACAAGAGGUCCUGC